This 301-nucleotide ribosomal RNA is filed under the name uncultured bacterium. RNAcentral describes it as "partial 16S ribosomal RNA". It matches the Rfam family "Bacterial small subunit ribosomal RNA", at positions 509 to 807 of the family's 1533-position model. The record is from RNAcentral.
CAGCCGCCACGGGAAUACGUAGGGAGCAAGCGUUGUUCGGAUUUACUGGGCGUAAAGGGCGCGUAGGCGGCGCGGUAAGUCACGUGUGAAAUCUCUGAGCUUAACUCAGAACGGCCAAGUGAUACUGCUGUGCUAGAGUGCGGAAGAGGCAACCGGAAUUCUUGGUGUAGCGGUGAAAUGCGUAGAUAUCAAGAGGAACACCUGAGGCGAAGGCGGGUUGCUGGGCCGACACUGACGCUGACGCGCGAAAGCCAGGGGAGCAAACGGGAUUAGAUACCCGGGUAGUCCCUGUCUCUUAUAC